Molecule: ribosomal RNA, 1337 nt
Filed under: Myroides odoratimimus
Lineage: Bacteria; Pseudomonadati; Bacteroidota; Flavobacteriia; Flavobacteriales; Flavobacteriaceae
Description: bacterial SSU rRNA
Rfam family: Bacterial small subunit ribosomal RNA
Source: RNAcentral
UUGCUUUUUUGAGACCGGCGCACGGGUGAGUAACGCGUAUGCAACCUACCUUAUACAGGGGAAUAGCCCGAAGAAAUUCGGAUUAAUGCUCCAUGGUUUAUCGAUAUGGCAUCGUAUUGAUAAUAAAGAUUUAUCGGUAUAAGAUGGGCAUGCGUAUCAUUAGCUAGUUGGUGUGGUAACGGCAUACCAAGGCAACGAUGAUUAGGGGUCCUGAGAGGGAGAUCCCCCACACUGGUACUGAGACACGGACCAGACUCCUACGGGAGGCAGCAGUGAGGAAUAUUGGUCAAUGGAGGCAACUCUGAACCAGCCAUGCCGCGUGCAGGAUGACGGUCCUAUGGAUUGUAAACUGCUUUUGUACAGGAAGAAACCUCCCUACGAGUAGGGACUUGACGGUACUGUAAGAAUAAGGAUCGGCUAACUCCGUGCCAGCAGCCGCGGUAAUACGGAGGAUCCGAGCGUUAUCCGGAAUUAUUGGGUUUAAAGGGUUCGUAGGCGGUUUUGUAAGUCAGUGGUGAAAUUUCCUAGCUUAACUAAGACACUGCCAUUGAUACUGUACUUGAAUAAUAUGGAAGUAACUAGAAUAUGUAGUGUAGCGGUGAAAUGCUUAGAUAUUACAUGGAAUACCAAUUGCGAAGGCAGGUUACUACGUAUUUAUUGACGCUGAUGAACGAAAGCGUGGGGAGCGAACAGGAUUAGAUACCCUGGUAGUCCACGCCGUAAACGAUGGAUACUAGCUGUUCGGUUUUCGGUCUGAGUGGCUAAGCGAAAGUGAUAAGUAUCCCACCUGGGGAGUACGUUCGCAAGAAUGAAACUCAAAGGAAUUGACGGGGGCCCGCACAAGCGGUGGAGCAUGUGGUUUAAUUCGAUGAUACGCGAGGAACCUUACCAGGGCUUAAAUGUAGAUUGACAGAUUUGGAAACAGAUUUUUCUUCGGACAAUUUACAAGGUGCUGCAUGGUUGUCGUCAGCUCGUGCCGUGAGGUGUCAGGUUAAGUCCUAUAACGAGCGCAACCCCUAUUGUUAGUUACCAGCGCGUAGUGGCGGGGACUCUAGCAAGACUGCCGGUGCAAACCGUGAGGAAGGUGGGGAUGACGUCAAAUCAUCACGGCCCUUACGUCCUGGGCUACACACGUGCUACAAUGGCAAGUACAGAAAGCAGCUACCUGGCAACAGGAUGCGAAUCUCCAAAGCUUGUCUCAGUUCGGAUUGGAGUCUGCAACUCGACUCUAUGAAGCUGGAAUCGCUAGUAAUCGGAUAUCAGCCAUGAUCCGGUGAAUACGUUCCCGGGCCUUGUACACACCGCCCGUCAAGCCAUGGAAGCUGGGGGUACCUGAA